GCUUUAAAGAGACUUUCAAAAAAAUAUUUAUGCGAGCGAGGGUUUUAUAUCUCGUAAUAAUCCACACACGUCACGCGGGCUUUGGAUCUCCGAUGGUGCUGUAACACAACACAACAUUCUCAUAGAGAUACGAUCUUAAGUGUUAAAUUAGAGGAUGUGCUGAUCUGCACUUGUUGAAAAGUCUUUGAUGCGAGCGAACAAAAGGGAGAUAGCUGGAUUAAAAAACAAAGCGGGCACGUCUUUGUUGUGAGCAAGAAUGAAAAAAUGUUGAUAGGUGAAGCCGGAAUUGAAGUGAAGUGGAGCUGAAAUAUGAACAUAAACCGGGAAACUCUGGGAGACAGGAGGCUGUAGAGGAGGAAAAGGGAAAGGCGAUCACGGCCAACGGACAAAAAAAGUGCAAUCUGAGAGAAGCGAGAGGACAAAGACAGAGGAGACGACAGAAACUCCAGGGCAUCUUUCCCCAUCCCUUUGAGAAAGUGUAUUGUAGACAGUAAUCCCGUGUUAUGACAGUGACACAGUCCGUCUCUCCCUCCUUCCCACAGGUUGGAGGGGAUGAGUCAGACGGCGAGGAAAACAAAGCGGCAGGCAGGAACCUGCGAGGAUUACACUCUCAUCAUGUGGAAACCAGACACCGCCACCGGAGCUACUGCAGCCGGCUACCGUACGGGCUGCGUGUGUGUAGUCUCUCGAUGCCAAAAAAUGACAGAAGCAGGUGAGAGGGCGGAUGUGUCAUCAAUCAGCAAACUGGAGGAGCCGCAGAGGAAGAAGGUGGUGCAGGAGGAGUUCAAGGUCACAAACAGGUUUUUUCUUUCUUUUUUUUUUUUUUUUUUACAGAAGAAUUGGCACAUAAUCUAACUACAGCUGCCAAAUAAAUACAAGGAAAUAACAGCCUGCAUGUUUAAGUGAGCAAAGACAUGGGAAAGUAACUGAAAAUUGCACUUUUACUACUAAAAUUAUUAGUUGCUUAAAGUUUCCACCCCUGAAAUAUUGUGAGCCUGUCGUUUUAAUGCACAGAAAGCCAAAAGUUAAGUAUGUAUGUGAAGUAUUUCUUUAAGGUUCUGAGAACUUAAGAGUCAGUUCACAUCAAGCAACUAAAGAGUUCAUUUCCAAAUGUUCACACGUCAGACAGCACAAGGAACAAUUUGGAUAUGAGCACAUCUGACUGUAAGGAACAAUAUAUAUGGUAUUUGCAUUUGCAAAAGUAAAAGUAAAAAGCAAUGUAUUUAACAAAAUAAUGGCACUUGUCAGCCACAUUGUCAAAAUCUACUUUUCCCAAAACAAUACAGUUCUACUAACAACAUUGGUUUAGUGAAAAAAAAAGAAAAAAAGAAAAAAGAAAGUGUAAAUUGGAAAGUACCGAGAACACAAGCGCUUUGCUGGUUUUGGUUCAUUCAGAUCAUUUUGUUGUCAAUAAAAAAAUUAAAGAAUUAUGGCAGCUAUUUCAUUUAAACUCUCCAGGCAAUCUUCUAAAUUUCCUUUAUUUUUAAUCUUAAGGGGCUCUACGAAACAAUUUGUCAGAAUUUACAUGUAGCAGUCGCUUUUUUUAUUGGCCCUAUGGGAGCGGAUUGAAACAUGACGUGAAAAAUGAGUCCGUCCUCGUCUCUCUCUCUCUCUCUGCCAACGCCAGCCUGUGGAUGAUUAGUUUGAGCUGUUUAAUGCUGCAGGACUGUGGAUUUCUUUAUGAAGGGACUCCGGUCCGAUUUUCUUGUAGGGUGUAGGGUGUUUCAGUUUCACUCAUUUCAAAUGUUUCUUUUCAUGGAAAUACUGUAAAUGUUUG
This is a long non-coding RNA of Acanthopagrus latus (yellowfin seabream), 1777 nucleotides long. RefSeq lists it as uncharacterized. The transcript has 3 exons. The record is from RefSeq and is a predicted model, not a curated record. Lineage: Eukaryota; Metazoa; Chordata; Actinopteri; Spariformes; Sparidae.